Molecule: ribosomal RNA, 469 nt
Filed under: uncultured bacterium
Lineage: Bacteria
Description: partial 16S ribosomal RNA
Rfam family: Bacterial small subunit ribosomal RNA
Source: RNAcentral
GACGAACGCUGGCGGCGUGCUUAACACAUGCAAGUCGAACGGAAAGGCCCUGCUUGCAGGGUGCUCGAGUGGCGAACGGGUGAGUAACACGUGGGUGAUCUGCCCCUUACUUUGGGAUAAGCCUGGGAAACUGGGUCUAAUACCGGAUAGGACCAUGCUGUAGGUGGUGUGGUGGAAAGAUUAGUUUCGGUAAGGGAUGAGCUCGCGGCCUAUCAGCUUGUUGGUGGGGUAAUGGCCUACCAAGGCGUCGACGGGUAGCCGGCCUGAGAGGGUGGACGGCCACAUUGGGACUGAGAUACGGCCCAGACUCCGACGGGAGGCAGCAGUGGGGAAUAUUGCACAAUGGGCGCAAGCCUGAUGCAGCGACGCCGCGUGGGGGAUGACGGCCUUCGGGUUGUAAACUCCUUUCAGCCAUGACGAAGCCCUUGUGGUGACGGUAGUGGUAGAAGAAGCACCGGCUAACUACGUG